UGAAUCCAUAGGUUAAUGAGGCGAACCGGGGGAACUGAAACAUCUAAGUACCCCGAGGAAAAGAAAUCAACCGAGAUUCCCCCAGUAGCGGCGAGCGAACGGGGAGGAGCCCAGAGCCUGAAUCAGUGUGUGUGUUAGUGGAAGCGUCUGGAAAGGCGUGCGAUACAGGGUGACAGCCCCGUACACAAAAAUGCACAUAUUGUGAGCUCGAUGAGUAGGGCGGGACACGUGGUAUCCUGUCUGAAUAUGGGGGGACCAUCCUCCAAGGCUAAAUACUCCUGACUGACCGAUAGUGAACCAGUACCGUGAGGGAAAGGCGAAAAGAACCCCGGCGAGGGGAGUGAAAAAGAACCUGAAACCGUGUACGUACAAGCAGUGGGAGCCUCUUAAUGGGGUGACUGCGUACCUUUUGUAUAAUGGGUCAGCGACUUAUAUUCUGUAGCAAGGUUAACCGAAUAGGGGAGCCGAAGGGAAACCGAGUCUUAACUGGGCGUUAAGUUGCAGGGUAUAGACCCGAAACCCGGUGAUCUAGCCAUGGGCAGGUUGAAGGUUGGGUAACACUAACUGGAGGACCGAACCGACUAAUGUUGAAAAAUUAGCGGAUGACUUGUGGCUGGGGGUGAAAGGCCAAUCAAACCGGGAGAUAGCUGGUUCUCCCCGAAAGCUAUUUAGGUAGCGCCUCGUGAAUUCAUCUCCGGGGGUAGAGCACUGUUUCGGCAAGGGGGUCAUCCCGACUUACCAACCCGAUGCAAACUGCGAAUACCGGAGAAUGUUAUCACGGGAGACACACGGCGGGUGCUAACGUCCGUCGUGAAGAGGGAAACAACCCAGACCGCCAGCUAAGGUCCCAAAGUCAUGGUUAAGUGGGAAACGAUGUGGGAAGGCCCAGACAGCCAGGAUGUUGGCUUAGAAGCAGCCAUCAUUUAAAGAAAGCGUAAUAGCUCACUGGUCGAGUCGGCCUGCGCGGAAGAUGUAACGGGGCUAAACCAUGCACCGAAGCUGCGGCAGCGACACUAUGUGUUGUUGGGUAGGGGAGCGUUCUGUAAGCCUGUGAAGGUGGCCUGUGAGGGUUGCUGGAGGUAUCAGAAGUGCGAAUGCUGACAUAAGUAACGAUAAAGCGGGUGAAAAGCCCGCUCGCCGGAAGACCAAGGGUUCCUGUCCAACGUUAAUCGGGGCAGGGUGAGUCGACCCCUAAGGCGAGGCCGAAAGGCGUAGUCGAUGGGAAACAGGUUAAUAUUCCUGUACUUGGUGUUACUGCGAAGGGGGGACGGAGAAGGCUAUGUUGGCCGGGCGACGGUUGUCCCGGUUUAAGCGUGUAGGCUGGUUUUCCAGGCAAAUCCGGAAAACCAAGGCUGAGGCGUGAUGACGAGGCACUACGGUGCUGAAGUGACAAAUGCCCUGCUUCCAGGAAAAGCCUCUAAGCAUCAGGUAACAUCAAAUCGUACCCCAAACCGACACAGGUGGUCAGGUAGAGAAUACCAAGGCGCUUGAGAGAACUCGGGUGAAGGAACUAGGCAAAAUGGUGCCGUAACUUCGGGAGAAGGCACGCUGAUAUGUAGGUGAAGCGACUUGCUCGUGGAGCUGAAAUCAGUCGAAGAUACCAGCUGGCUGCAACUGUUUAUUAAAAACACAGCACUGUGCAAACACGAAAGUGGACGUAUACGGUGUGACGCCUGCCCGGUGCCGGAAGGUUAAUUGAUGGGGUUAGCGGUAACGCGAAGCUCUUGAUCGAAGCCCCGGUAAACGGCGGCCGUAACUAUAACGGUCCUAAGGUAGCGAAAUUCCUUGUCGGGUAAGUUCCGACCUGCACGAAUGGCGUAAUGAUGGCCAGGCUGUCUCCACCCGAGACUCAGUGAAAUUGAACUCGCUGUGAAGAUGCAGUGUACCCGCGGCAAGACGGAAAGACCCCGUGAACCUUUACUAUAGCUUGACACUGAACAUUGAGCCUUGAUGUGUAGGAUAGGUGGGAGGCUUUGAAGUGUGGACGCCAGUCUGCAUGGAGCCGACCUUGAAAUACCACCCUUUAAUGUUUGAUGUUCUAACGUUGGCCCGUAAUCCGGGUUGCGGACAGUGUCUGGUGGGUAGUUUGACUGGGGCGGUCUCCUCCUAAAGAGUAACGGAGGAGCACGAAGGUUGGCUAAUCCUGGUCGGACAUCAGGAGGUUAGUGCAAUGGCAUAAGCCAGCUUGACUGCGAGCGUGACGGCGCGAGCAGGUGCGAAAGCAGGUCAUAGUGAUCCGGUGGUUCUGAAUGGAAGGGCCAUCGCUCAACGGAUAAAAGGUACUCCGGGGAUAACAGGCUGAUACCGCCCAAGAGUUCAUAUCGACGGCGGUGUUUGGCACCUCGAUGUCGGCUCAUCACAUCCUGGGGCUGAAGUAGGUCCCAAGGGUAUGGCUGUUCGCCAUUUAAAGUGGUACGCGAGCUGGGUUUAGAACGUCGUGAGACAGUUCGGUCCCUAUCUGCCGUGGGCGCUGGAGAACUGAGGGGGGCUGCUCCUAGUACGAGAGGACCGGAGUGGACGCAUCACUGGUGUUCGGGUUGUCAUGCCAAUGGCACUGCCCGGUAGCUAAAUGCGGAAGAGAUAAGUGCUGAAAGCAUCUAAGCACGAAACUUGCCCCGAGAUGAGUUCUCCCUGACUCCUUGAGA
Molecule: ribosomal RNA, 2645 nt
Filed under: Escherichia coli
Lineage: Bacteria; Pseudomonadati; Pseudomonadota; Gammaproteobacteria; Enterobacterales; Enterobacteriaceae
Description: partial 23S ribosomal RNA
Rfam family: Bacterial large subunit ribosomal RNA
Source: RNAcentral